GAAAGCAGCCGCUCUGCCUAAUCAGGCAGCAAGCAGCAUAAUUGUCUCCACACCAAUGAAAACACGGCAGAAAUGACAAAACCCACCAGAUGUGGGGUGAAAGGGCCACAACUUUAUCCAGUCAAGGAUCUCUGCAGCAGAAGAAGGUGCAGGGAGCAGCUGGGUGCAACCUUUCUAUUUGACUUUUAAUGAUGCCAUUAAACUGCAUGUUCUAGA
Molecule: long non-coding RNA, 216 nt
Organism: Hemicordylus capensis (graceful crag lizard)
Lineage: Eukaryota; Metazoa; Chordata; Lepidosauria; Squamata; Cordylidae
Exons: 2
Source: RefSeq, a predicted model, not a curated record